RNAcentral lists this ribosomal RNA (253 nucleotides) under uncultured bacterium. Its description in RNAcentral is "partial 16S ribosomal RNA". It matches the Rfam family "Bacterial small subunit ribosomal RNA", at positions 524 to 776 of the family's 1533-position model. The record is from RNAcentral.
UACAGAGGUCUCAAGCGCUGUUCGGAUUCAUUGGGCGUAAAGGGUGCGUAGGCGGCGCGGUAAGUCGGGUGUGAAAUCUUGGAGCUUAACUCCGAAACUGCAUUCGAUACUGCCGUGCUUGAGGACUGGAGAGGAGACUGGAAUUUACGGUGUAGCGGUGAAAUGCGUAGAUAUCGUAAGGAAGACCAGUGGCGAAGGCGGGUCUCUGGGACGGUACUGACGCUGAGACGCGAAAGCGUGGGGAGCAAACAGG